RNAcentral lists this ribosomal RNA (768 nucleotides) under uncultured bacterium. RNAcentral describes it as "bacterial SSU rRNA". It matches the Rfam family "Bacterial small subunit ribosomal RNA", at positions 8 to 796 of the family's 1533-position model. The record is from RNAcentral.
AGAGUUUGAUCCUGGCUCAGAACGAACGCUGGCGGCAUGCUUAACACAUGCAAGUCGAACGAGACCUUCGGGUCUAGUGGCGCACGGGUGCGUAACGCGUGGGAAUCUGCCCUUUGCUACGGAAUAACUCAGAGAAAUUUGUGCUAAUACCGUAUAAUGUCGAAAGACCAAAGAUUUAUCGGCAAAGGAUGAGCCCGCGUAGGAUUAGCUAGUUGGUGAGGUAAAGGCUCACCAAGGCGACGAUCCUUAGCUGGUCUAAGAGGACGAUCAGCCACACUGGUACUGAGACACGGUCCAGACUCCUACGGGAGGCAGCAGUGGGGAAUCUUGCGCAAUGGGCGAAAGCCUGACGCAGCAACGCCGCGUGUGUGAUGAAGGUCUUCGGAUCGUAAAGCACUGUCGGGAGGGACGAAUAAGGUGCCGGCUAACAUCCGGCGCCGAUGACGGUACCUCCAAAGGAAGCACCGGCUAACUCUGUGCCAGCAGCCGCGGUAAUACAGAGGGUGCAAGCGUUGUUCGGAAUUAUUGGGCGUAAAGCGCGUGUAGGCGGUUCAGCAAGUCGGAUGUGAAAGCCCUCGGCUUAACCGAGGAAGGGCGUUCGAAACUACUGAACUUGAGUGCCGGAGAGGGUGGCGGAAUUCCCGGUGUAGAGGUGAAAUUCGUAGAUAUCGGGAGGAACACCAGUGGCGAAGGCGGCUUUCUGGGCCACGACUGACGCUGAGGCGCGAAAGCUAGGGGAGCAAACAGGAUUAGAUACCCUGGUAGUCC